AUGAUGAGCAAUGUGGAUGGCACACUUUGCUUAUUGUAUGAAACCUGCUUUGCAUGUGCAGACCAAAAUUGUGCAAUGGAAAUUGCCAUAGAGAAUGUGUUGCCAAAUACAGCACACAAGUGGUGCAAGUGGCACAUGUUGAAGAAGGCGAAGGAGUCCCUGGGUCCGCUGUAUUCAAAGAAGAGUGAUUUUCAGGUAGAGUUCCACAAAGUUGUUAACCACAUGUUAACAAUUGAUGAGUUUGAGGAACCAUGGAAGAUGCUCAUCAAGAAGUACAACCUGAGAGCUCAUAACUACAUGACCAAUCUCUACGAGAUCCGACACAAAUGGGCGAAACCAUACUUCAAAGGAGUGUUCUGUGCGAAAAUGACUAGUACUCAACAUAGUGAAAGAGCAAACCACAUGUUGAAGAACUAUGUCCCUCCUGGGUGCCCUAUGCACAUGUUUGUGAGGAAGUACAUGUUGCUGCAGUUUGACGGAGAAGCUGAGGAAAAUUAUGAGGAGAAAAGAACCAGAAUUGGAAGGAAACUAAGGGCAUUUCUGGUUUGCACUAAUUACUUUGCAUAUGUCUGUAGCUAA
RNAcentral lists this ribosomal RNA (579 nucleotides) under Triticum aestivum (bread wheat). Its description in RNAcentral is "partial small subunit ribosomal RNA". Lineage: Eukaryota; Viridiplantae; Streptophyta; Magnoliopsida; Poales; Poaceae. The record is from RNAcentral.